CUUCAGCGAGCCGAGCCACAGCGGCCGGUCACCGACGCGCUCCUGACCGUAGGUGGCGAGCAGCGCCUGGGCCUC
RNAcentral lists this antisense RNA (75 nucleotides) under Streptomyces albireticuli. Its description in RNAcentral is "ASpks TB sRNA". It matches the Rfam family "ASpks TB sRNA". The record is from Rfam by way of RNAcentral. Lineage: Bacteria; Bacillati; Actinomycetota; Actinomycetes; Kitasatosporales; Streptomycetaceae.